Cinara cedri is the source of this 792-nucleotide non-coding RNA. The record is from the annotation of a GenBank genome assembly. NCBI's taxonomy places the organism in Eukaryota, Metazoa, Arthropoda, Insecta, Hemiptera, Aphididae.
GGAUAGAAAAUUUCACCUUGAGGAACUCCAGCAAGGAUUUCGCUUACACUUUAAAGGCUUCACCGACACGAACGCUAAAGUAGCGAUCAGGAAGAUAAGAUUUGAUAAUAAGGAAAUAAACUGGGUGCAGACAUUUUUUUUAAUUUGUUCAAGAUCCCGUCGUGCCGAACCCUGUCAAAAGCUUGAGGUGUCAAGAAACGCACCAGUGUAGUAGGAUUUUUUCUCUAGUGCCUAGGAGAUGGCGUCUAUUACUCUGUGUACUUGGUGUAUAGUUGAGUGGGAGCUACGGAAACCAAACUGUGAGUCCGGGAGAAUAGAGUUUGAAGAUAAGCUUGGUAAGAUUCUUUUUAGUAAAAAUCUUUCAGGGAUUUUUGAAAAAAAAGGUAGGAGGCUUAUAGACCGAAAAGAAAAAAAAAAUCUGGUUAUUUAUUAGGUUUAAUUACAAAGAUAAUUAUUGAAUAUUUUCAAAGAAUUGGGAAGUAAGAAAGUCUUAGAACGGAGUCAAAUAAAUGCGAAUGGUGAAUGAUGGCGCUUUCUUGAGCAACCAUCUAGCUACCUCAUUGGUAAUGAGGUCAAAACCGGGAGAUAUAUUUAGGGGGUAUUUAUUAAUGACAUAUUUGAUUUCGUUUGGCGUGAAAUGUUUAGUUGGACGAGAGACAGGGAGGGAAGAAUUGAGAAAAUCUUCUACAGAGAUUAGGAUAUGGGGAGAGAAAUAUCAGGAUGGGGUUGGAAUAUUUCAGACGAAUGGUGUUAAAAUAAUUCAGCUUUAUAUCAGAGUCGGAUACAACAAAA